RNAcentral lists this ribosomal RNA (547 nucleotides) under uncultured bacterium. RNAcentral describes it as "bacterial SSU rRNA". It matches the Rfam family "Bacterial small subunit ribosomal RNA", at positions 777 to 1329 of the family's 1533-position model. The record is from RNAcentral.
AAUAGAUACCCGGGUAGUCCACGCCGUAAACGAUGAAUACUAGGUGUCGGAGGGUACCACCUUCGGUGCCGCAGCAAACGCAAUAAGUAUUCCGCCUGGGGAGUACGGUCGCAAGAUUAAAACUCAAAGGAAUUGACGGGGACCCGCACAAGCAGCGGAGCAUGUGGUUUAAUUCGAAGCAACGCGAAGAACCUUACCUAGACUUGACAUCUCCUGAUUUACUCGUAACGGAGGAAGCCCUUCGGGGCAGGAAGACAGGUGGUGCAUGGUUGUCGUCAGCUCGUGUCGUGAGAUGUUGGGUUAAGUCCCGCAACGAGCGCAACCCUUAUUGUUAGUUGCUACCAUUAAGUUGAGCACUCUAACGAGACUGCCGCGGUUAACGUGGAGGAAGGUGGGGAUGACGUCAAAUCAUCAUGCCCCUUAUGUCUAGGGCUACACACGUGCUACAAUGGCCGGUACAAUAAGAUGCAAUCCCGUGAGGGGGAGCUAAACUCAAAAGCCGGUCCCAGUUCGGAUUGUAGGCUGAAACUCGCCUACAUGAAGUUGG